Molecule: ribosomal RNA, 1166 nt
Filed under: Nosema sp.
Lineage: Eukaryota; Fungi; Microsporidia; Nosematidae
Description: bacterial SSU rRNA
Rfam family: Microsporidia small subunit ribosomal RNA
Source: RNAcentral
GUAGACGCUAUACUCUAAGAUUAACCCAUGCAUGUUUAUUGAAUAUAAAGAAAAGACGAACAGCUCAGUAACUCUUAUUUGAUUUGAUGUAUUAGGAUUCUAACUAUGUUAAAUUAUAGGUAACAAUAAUACAAUAAGAAUAAGAUCUAUCAGUUAGUUGUUAGGGUAAUGGCUUAACAAGACUAUGACGGAUUAACGGUAUUACUUUGUAAUAUUCCGGAGAAGGAGCCUGAGAGAUUGCUACUAAGUCUAAGGAUUGCAGCAGGGGCGAAACUUGACCUAUGAUAUUAUAUUGAGGCAGUUAUGAGUAGUAUUUUAUAAUUAUUGUAGUAUUGUAAGUACAUAUUACAAGAUAAAUCGGAGGGCAAAUCGAGUGCCAGCAGCCGCGGUAAUACUUGUUCCGAUAGUGUGUAUGAUGAUUGAUGCAGUUAAAAAGUCUGUAGUUUAUUUUAUAAUAAGCAUUGUAAGGUAUACUGUAUGGUUAGGAGAGAGAUGAAAUGUGAUAACCCUAACUGGAUGAACAGAAGCGAAAGCUGUAUACUUAAAUGUAUUAUUAGAACAAGGACGUAAGCUAGAGGAUCGAAGAUGAUUAGAUACCAUUGUAGUUCUAGCAGUAAACUAUGUUGAAUCAUAGAUAUAUUUUGAUAUAUAUUUAUGUAGAGAAAUUAAGAUUAUAUUGACUCUGGGGAUAGUAUGAUCGCAAGAUUGAAAAUUAAAGAAAUUGACGGAAGAAUACCACAAGGAGUGGAUUGUGCGGCUUAAUUUGACUCAACGCGGGGUAAUUUACCAGGUAUAACAUGGUAUAAUAUUUUAUCAUGAUAGUGGUGCAUGGCCGUUUCCAAUGGAUGCUGUGAAGUAAUGAUUAAUUUCAACAAGAUGUGAGACCCUCAUUUUGACAGAUGUAGUGAUACAUAUGAAGGAGAGGAUUAAAACAGGUCCGUUAUGCCCUAAGAUAAUCUGGGUUGCACGCGCAAUACAAUAAUAUUUGAUAUUAUAAGGGAUAAUAUAAUGUAAGAUAUAUUUGAACAUGGAAUUGCUAGUAAAUUUUAUUUAAUAAGUAGAAUUGAAUGAGUCCCUGUUCUUUGUACACACCGCCCGUCGCUAUCUAAGAUGGUAUUAUCUAUGAACAAAUUUAUAAAGUGAAUAGAUAGUACUAGAUCUGAUAU